GAGUCAUUGGGACUAAAUUAAACCUAAAGGCGCAAUGAAAGUAAAGGUCCGCCUCGCGCGGACCUAGGGAGGAUGCGCCCGGCCACGGUCGGGCACCGCACUCCCGGGGCGUCUCGUUCUCAUAGCGAGAAGAGGCGCACCCAGAGCGUACACGCUGGGACCCGAAAGAUGGUGAACUAUGCCUGGUCAGGACGAAGUCAGGGGAAACCCUGAUGGAGGUCCGUAGCGAUUCUGACGUGCAAAUCGAUCGUCGGAACUGGGUAUAGGGGCGAAAGACUAAUCGAACCUUCUAGUAGCUGGUUCCCUCCGAAGUUUCCCUCAGGAUAGCUGGCGCUCGCCUUUGCGAGUCUCAUUCGGUAAAGCGAAUGAUUAGAGGCAUUGGGGUCGAAACGGCCUCAACCUAUUCUCAAACUUUAAAUGGGUGAGAUCUCCGGCUUGCUUGAACGGUGAAGCCGCGAGAGAUCAUCGGAUCACAGAGUGCCAAGUGGGCCACUUUUGGUAAGCAGAACUGGCGCUGUGGGAUGAACCAAACGCCGAGUUAAAGCGCCUAAAUCGACGCUUAUGGGAUACCAUGAAAGGCG
This 581-nucleotide ribosomal RNA is filed under the name Coprophanaeus sp. dgi1. Its description in RNAcentral is "eukaryotic LSU rRNA". It matches the Rfam family "Eukaryotic large subunit ribosomal RNA", at positions 688 to 1223 of the family's 3401-position model. The record is from RNAcentral. Lineage: Eukaryota; Metazoa; Arthropoda; Insecta; Coleoptera; Scarabaeidae.